Molecule: ribosomal RNA, 408 nt
Filed under: uncultured bacterium
Lineage: Bacteria
Description: partial 16S ribosomal RNA
Rfam family: Bacterial small subunit ribosomal RNA
Source: RNAcentral
AGUGAACGCUGGCGGCGGGCCUAAUACAUGCAAGUCGAACGGAGUGGCGCACGGGUGAGUAAUGUAUAGCUAAUCUGCCCUACACUAGAGGACAACAGUUGGAAACGACUGCUAAUACUCUAUAGUGUAGGAUGAGGGUAUAUUGUAGCAGGUAGUUGGUGAGGUAAUGGCGCACGAAGGUUAUGACGCAUAACUGGUCUGAGUGGAUGAUCAGUCAAACUGUAAUUGAGGCAGGGUCCAGACUCCUACGGGAGGCGGCAGUAUGGAAUAUUGCUCAAUGGGGGAAAGCCUGAAGCAGCAACGCCGCGUGGAGGACUACACGUUUCGAGGAGUAAACUCCUUUUGUUAGGGAAGCGGUACCUAACGAAUAAGCACCGGCUAACUCCGUGCCAGCAGCCGCGGUAAUAC